AUGGUGCCCAUUCGAGCCGGGCUUGCCACCUACAAUGGCGGGGAGCAAGUGGAGAGCUUUCCCUGCCCCUCUAUGGGGGAACGGGUCUGCCUUGUUCCCUAUUUAUUAAGAGGACUCGGAUUUCCAAUUCAUCCGUUCCUCCGCGGGCUCCUGGAGUUCUACGGCCUCCAAUUACACAAUUUCACCCCUGCCUCCAUCCUACAUAUCGCCGGCUAUGUUGCUCUCUGUGAGUUGUUCCUGGGCUGCGAGGCUCACUUCAAGCUGUGGAAAAGACUAUUUUGCCUCAUCCCUCGCACACAGAGGGGGUCACUUUAUCAAGUGGGUGGAGCCGAAAUAUGGCGCAUCGCCGAUACCGGAUACCUGUCCGGUACCCCAAAGAAGUUGUCCGAAGACUGGCCUUCAGAAUGGUUUUAUAUGGAGGACGUUCCCCUUCCGGACCCUGUUCGGCAGGGUCUUCCUGGGUUCAACAAUGCUCCUCUAAAGAAACGCCGAAGUUGGCGCCCACGGAGCCCCCAGGUGGAAGACAAUGGAGAAGUCCUCUAUCUGAUGAACCUGAUUAAAGCACCGGCUCGAUCAGGAUUGACAGUAAUCGAAGUUAUGUCGAUUUGCAUAAUGCGGGGAGUGCAACCACUUCAAUAUCGUGGGCACCCCUUGUGGUGUUUUAACGGGGCAGAUGAUGCCACCCAUUGCGGGCGUAAGGGUCCGGACAAUGUCGCCGCUUUAGCGAAAAUUCCGUCCGAAUUGUUCAAGGGUGAGGAAGAGGAGUUCACCCACAUCAAGCCACGAGAUGGAUUCUCCAUGUACAAUCCUCCAAGCUGGGUAAGUUAUAUCUUCCUACUCCCAUUUCUCCUGCAUUUUUUGUCAUAA
Molecule: ribosomal RNA, 867 nt
Filed under: Triticum aestivum (bread wheat)
Lineage: Eukaryota; Viridiplantae; Streptophyta; Magnoliopsida; Poales; Poaceae
Description: partial small subunit ribosomal RNA
Source: RNAcentral